This 1519-nucleotide ribosomal RNA is filed under the name uncultured rumen bacterium. Its description in RNAcentral is "bacterial SSU rRNA". It matches the Rfam family "Bacterial small subunit ribosomal RNA". The record is from RNAcentral.
AGAGUUUGAUCCUGGCUCAGGAUGAACGCUAGCGGCAGGCUUAACACAUGCAAGUCGAGGGGCAGCGAGUGUAGCAAUACAUGUCGGCGACCGGCGGAAGGGUGCGUAACGCGUGAGCAACAUGCCCGUGAUCGGGGGAUAGUCAUUGGAAACGAUGCGUAAUACCCCAUAACAACGAGGACCGCAUGGUCCAUGUUUGAAAGCUUCGGUGAUCACGGAUUGGCUCGCGUGGCAUUAGCCAGUAGGCGGGGUAACGGCCCACCUAAGCGACGAUGCCUAGGGGUUCUGAGAGGAAGAUCCCCCACAUUGGGACUGAGACACGGCCCAAACUCCUACGGGAGGCAGCAGUGAGGAAUAUUGGUCAAUGGACGGAAGUCUGAACCAGCCAUGCCGCGUGAAGGAAGGCGGCCCUAUGGGUUGUAAACUUCUUUUGUAGUGGAGCAAUAAGGUGUACGAGUACACCGAUGAGAGUACAUUACGAAUAAGCAUCGGCUAACUCCGUGCCAGCAGCCGCGGUAAUACGGAGGAUGCGAGCGUUAUCCGGAUUUAUUGGGUUUAAAGGGUGCGUAGGCUGUGCUGCAAGUCAGUGGUGAAAGACCUGCGCUCAACGCAGGAAGUGCCAUUGAUACUGCAGUGCUGGAGUACCCCUGCCGUGGGAGGAAUGAGUGGUGUACCGGUGAAAUGCAUAGAUAUCACUCAAAACACCGAUUGCGAAGGCAUCUCACGAAAGGGCAACUGACGCUGAGGCACGAAAAGCGUGGGGAUCAAACAGGCUUAGAUACCCUGGUAGUCCACGCUGUAAACGAUGAUGACUAACUGUCGGCGAUAUACAGUCGGUAGCCAAGCGAAAGCGAUAAGUCAUCCACCUGGGGAGUACGACCGCAAGGUUGAAACUCAAAGGAAUUGACGGGGGCCCGCACAAGCGGAGGAACAUGUGGUUUAAUUCGAUGAUACGCGAGGAACCUUACCCGGGCUCGAACGGCAGGCGAACGAUGCAGAGAUGCAAAGGUCCUUCGGGACGUCUGUCGAGGUGCUGCAUGGUUGUCGUCAGCUCGUGUCGUGAGAUGUUGGCUCAAGUGCCAUAACGAGCGCAACCCUUGCCGCCAGUUACCAUCAAGUAAAGUUGGGGACUCUGGCGGGACUGCCACCGCAAGGUGAGAGGAGGGGGGGGAUGACGUCAAAUCAGCACGGCCCUUACGUCCGGGGCGACACACGUGUUACAAUGGCGGUUACAGAGGGGUGCCACCCAGUGAUGGGGAGCUGAUCUCGAAAAGCCGCCUCAGUUCGGAUCGGAGUCUGCAACUCGACUCCGUGAAGCUGGAUUCGCUAGUAAUCGCGCAUCAGCCAUGGCGCGGUGAAUACGUUCCCGGGCCUUGUACACACCGCCCGUCAAGCCAUGAAAGCCGGGGGUGCCUGAAGUUCGUGACCGGAAGGAGCGACCUAGGGCAAAACUGGUAAUUGGGGCUAAGUCGUAACAAGGUAGCCGUACCGGAAGGUGUGGCUGGAUCACCUCCUUUCU